Molecule: non-coding RNA, 494 nt
Organism: Paramisgurnus dabryanus
Lineage: Eukaryota; Metazoa; Chordata; Actinopteri; Cypriniformes; Cobitidae
Source: RefSeq, a predicted model, not a curated record
UUUAUUGUAAGCAGUAGGCUACUGUACAAUCAAUAGACACUGACAUGUCAUAAGCCCCUAUCUCUCUCUCAAUGUAAUGCAGUCAAAUUGAAGUCAUCCAAAUCAAUAAGGGAGGAAGAUCAAACAUCUCAGACGUCACAGGGCAGGUAAUAAGUUUCUUUUGCACAAUUUAUGAAAAAGUUCUAUGUAGUAAAUUUUUUAAUCUACAGUCAUUUAAUAGCAAAUGUUAAAUAAUACUGUUUUCUAUGUUUUAGUGUUCAAAAUGGAAUGAUAAACUGGCUCUCCAAUGGUUUCGCAAGUGCAUUGCCUCAACCUGCAGGAAGUCCUCUUCUCUCCAGGGCCAACUCUGAUGCUAAAUCAAUGCAUGAGGAAGGUUCUGCAGACAGGACUGGUGUUAUAAAUUGGAUCUCCCAGGGAAUUGGAAAGGUCGUCCCUCAGCCUGAUGAGAAAUACAGAAAGGGAGAGACUCCAGAAUGUCAAGAAGUCACAGAGGU